GCCGUUCUCAGUUCGGAUCGGAGUCUGCAACCCGACUCCGUGAAGCUGGAUUCGCUAGUAAUCGCGCAUCAGCCAUGGCGCGGUGAAUACGUUCCCGGGCCUUGUACACACCGCCCGUCAAGCCAUGGAAGCCGGGGGCGCUUGAAGUGCGUUACCGCAAGGCGCGCCCUAGAGCGAAACCGGUGACUGGGGCUAAGUCGUAACAAGGUACC
Molecule: ribosomal RNA, 212 nt
Filed under: uncultured bacterium
Lineage: Bacteria
Description: partial 16S ribosomal RNA
Rfam family: Bacterial small subunit ribosomal RNA
Source: RNAcentral